CAUUCAGGUUCCCUGGAAAACGACCCCUGCCUGGAAGCCGGGCUCCUCGGCCGCGGGGCAACGGUUCUCUGUGAAUCCCUGAGCUCUGCGUCGAUGGAAGCGCAUGCUUUCUCUGAGGUGUAACUCAUAUUCUGUGUGUGAACCCGACAGAGAACAGAUGCUAUUUCACCUGCAGCCCUGCACCCAUUGAGAACGGCAGAUGGAAGAGGCAAAAUAAAUAGGUCAGAACUAGGCGUGGUGAAGUGGACGCUGUGCUGGGCCUUGAAGAGGACGGCCUGGACCAAACGUGUGUGCGCGUUGCAGUCACACGGAGGGCUUGUGCAAACGUAGAGCUGCUGGUGUGUUAGGUCUGUGAUGGGCCCUGAGAAUUUGCAUUUAAAACAAAUUCACGGAGGCUGCUGAAGCUCCCUCUGAGGACCAUGGGCCUCCCCGGUGGAAGACCUGGGGCUGAAUCCCAGAUUCCUUGCUUUACUAGCUGUGACUGAGGGAAUUUAGUUAUCUGAGUCUCGGCUCCUUCUCUGUAAACUGAACUGUAAACUCCCUGUUUAUCCAUUUUGUUAGACUUGUGUGAAAAGGAAAUAAAAUAAUAUAUUUGCAAAUUA
This 602-nucleotide long non-coding RNA is filed under the name Equus asinus (donkey). RNAcentral's name for it is "lncRNA (ENSEASG00005033218.1)". The record is from RNAcentral. Lineage: Eukaryota; Metazoa; Chordata; Mammalia; Perissodactyla; Equidae.